GUCUGCGGCCAUGCCACCCUGAGCAAGCCCGAUCCUGUCUGAUCUCGGAAGCUAAGCAGGGUUGGGCUUGAUUAGUACUUGGAUGGGAGACCACCUAGGAAGAUUAGGUGCUGUAGGCG
RNAcentral lists this ribosomal RNA (119 nucleotides) under Pteropus alecto (black flying fox). Lineage: Eukaryota; Metazoa; Chordata; Mammalia; Chiroptera; Pteropodidae. The record is from RNAcentral.